This 253-nucleotide ribosomal RNA is filed under the name uncultured bacterium. Its description in RNAcentral is "partial 16S ribosomal RNA". It matches the Rfam family "Bacterial small subunit ribosomal RNA", at positions 524 to 776 of the family's 1533-position model. The record is from RNAcentral.
UACGGAGGGUGCGAGCGUUGUCCGGAAUCACUGGGCGUAAAGGGCGCGUAGGCGGCGCGGAUAGUCAACGGUGAAAGCUUGGGGCUCAACCCCGAGUCGGCCGUGCGAACUGUUUUGCUGGAGCACUGUAGAGGCAGGCGGAAUUCCGGGUGUAGCGGUGGAAUGCGUAGAGAUCCGGAAGAACACCGGUGGCGAAGGCGGCCUGCUGGGCAGUUGCUGACAUUGAGGCGCGACAGCGUGGGGAGCAAACAGG